GGAUGUAUAAGUACGAAGUCACGUUCGGUCAGAAUAUAGGUAAUACAUUGUUAUUUUCAAUGCAAGCUUUUGAUCUCGCUAAUCAGAGGGCUGAAGCUUGAUACAUUCUCCUUCAGUACAAAUAUCAUCAGUAUAUUUUUGAUAGAUUUGAAUGCCUAGUAGUUGACUUGGAAUACUUGGCUACCUCCACCACUAUACAUAACACGUCAGAAC
Molecule: long non-coding RNA, 213 nt
Filed under: Mytilus galloprovincialis (Mediterranean mussel)
Lineage: Eukaryota; Metazoa; Mollusca; Bivalvia; Mytilida; Mytilidae
Source: RNAcentral